GACGUAGGGCGCGAGCGUUGUCCGGAUUUAUUGGGCGUAAAGAGCUCGUAGGCGGUUUGUCGCGUCGAAUGUGAAAACCCGGGGCUCAACCCCGGGCCUGCAUUCGAUACGGGCAGACUAGAGUUCGGUAGGGGAGUCUGGAAUUCCUGGUGUAGCGGUGAAAUGCGCAGAUAUCAGGAGGAACACCGGUGGCGAAGGCGGGACUCUGGGCCGAUACUGACGCUGAGGAGCGAAAGCGUGGGGAGCAAACAGG
Molecule: ribosomal RNA, 253 nt
Filed under: uncultured bacterium
Lineage: Bacteria
Description: partial 16S ribosomal RNA
Rfam family: Bacterial small subunit ribosomal RNA
Source: RNAcentral